GGAACCCUCGGAUUGCAGGAAGAGGUUUUCUGGCUCUCCUCCUCCCACUCCAUCGGCAGGCAUUCCACGUCUCCAACCCAUCCUUCCCGUGGCGGCUGAGGCAGGGCUGAAGGUGCAAGCCACAGGUCUGAAAAUGAAUUAAGAGGUGCCGUGAAUUCAAUCUCAGGGCCUGGCUCUCUGCUGGCCCGGCCCCCAGGGCCUGAUGGAGGAGGCCCCGGGUGAUCUGGUGAGCUUCACUGGGCA
Neomonachus schauinslandi (Hawaiian monk seal) is the source of this 243-nucleotide long non-coding RNA. RefSeq lists it as uncharacterized. The transcript is spliced from 3 exons. Lineage: Eukaryota; Metazoa; Chordata; Mammalia; Carnivora; Phocidae. The record is from RefSeq and is a predicted model, not a curated record.